AAACCAACCGGGAUUGCCUUAGUAACGGCGAGUGAAGCGGCAAAAGCUCAAAUUUGAAAUCUGGUACCUUCGGUGCCCGAGUUGUAAUUUGUAGAAGGCGACUCUGGGGCUGGUCCUUGUCUAUGUUCCUUGGAACAGGACGUCAUGGAGGGUGAGAAUCCCGUAUGGCGAGGAUCCCAGUUCUUUGUAGAGUGCCUUCGAAGAGUCGAGUUGUUUGGGAAUGCAGCUCUAAGUGGGUGGUAAAUUCCAUCUAAAGCUAAAUAUUGGCGAGAGACCGAUAGCGAACAAGUACAGUGAUGGAAAGAUGAAAAGAACUUUGAAAAGAGAGUGAAAAAGUACGUGAAAUUGUUGAAAGGGAAGGGCAUUUGAUCAGACAUGGUGUUUUGCGCCCCUCGCCUCUCGUGGGUGGGGGAAUCUCGCAGUUCACUGGGCCAGCAUCAGUUUUGGCGGCAGGAUAAAUCCCUGGGAAUGUAGCUCUACCACUUCGUGGCGGACGAACUUAUAGUCCAGGGGAAUACUGCCAGCUGGGACUGAGGAAUGCGACUUUAGUCAAGGAUCGCAAUUAG
This 566-nucleotide ribosomal RNA is filed under the name Zygosaccharomyces bailii. RNAcentral's name for it is "LSU rRNA". It matches the Rfam family "Eukaryotic large subunit ribosomal RNA", at positions 62 to 634 of the family's 3401-position model. The record is from RNAcentral. Lineage: Eukaryota; Fungi; Ascomycota; Saccharomycetes; Saccharomycetales; Saccharomycetaceae.